UACAGAGGUCCCAAGCGUUGUUCGGAUUCAUUGGGCGUAAAGGGUGCGUAGGUGGCGGGGUAAGUUGGAUGUGAAAUCUCGGAGCUCAACUCCGAAACUGCAUUCAAUACUGCCUUGCUAGAGUACUGGAGAGGAGAUUGGAAUUUACGGUGUAGCAGUGAAAUGCGUAGAUAUCGUAAGGAAGACCAGUGGCGAAGGCGGAUCUCUGGACAGUUACUGACACUGAGGCACGAAGGCCAGGGGAGCAAACAGG
RNAcentral lists this ribosomal RNA (253 nucleotides) under uncultured bacterium. RNAcentral's name for it is "partial 16S ribosomal RNA". It matches the Rfam family "Bacterial small subunit ribosomal RNA", at positions 524 to 776 of the family's 1533-position model. The record is from RNAcentral.